This 1067-nucleotide long non-coding RNA is filed under the name Sus scrofa (pig). Its description in RNAcentral is "lncRNA (ENSSSCG00045019525.1)". Lineage: Eukaryota; Metazoa; Chordata; Mammalia; Artiodactyla; Suidae. The record is from RNAcentral.
CUUGUUUGACUGUGGGGUGAGUCUGAUAUUGGUUUUCCACUUAUUGGAUACUUUUUGCUUGAUCUAGGCCCACAGCUUCCUUGUCCACUUACCCUAGAUUCAUAGCCUGAGAAUUGCCCUGAGCUAAACGCAUGUUCUCCAAACCCUGAAGACUGACUUGAACUUGACCCAUGUUGUCCAAAGCCAGAGGACGUCACUGAGCCUGACUCAUGUUGGCCAUAGCCAGACUGCCCUGAUCUAGACUCAUGGUGUUCAAAACUAGAAGACUGAUAUGAACUAGACCCAUGUUGACCAGAGCCAGAGGACAGGGUUGAGCCUGACCGAUGUUGCCCACAGCCAGAGGAUUGGCCUGAACCUGACCUAUGGUGUCCACAGCCAGAGGACUGGCCUGAGCCUGACCCGUGUUGGCCAUAGCCAGACUGCCCUGAUCUAGACUCAUGGUAUUCAAAACCAAAGGAAUGAUGUGAACUAGACCCAUGUAGUCCAGAGCCAGAAGACUGACCUGAGGCUGAGCCAUGUUGUCCAGAGCCAGAGGACUGGCCUGAGCCUGACCCAUGUUGUCCAGAGCCAGAGGACUGGUGUGAGCCUGACCCAUGGUGUCCAAAGCCAGAGGACUGGCCUGAGCCUGACCCAUGUUGUCCAGAGCCAGAGGACUGUCCUGAGCCUGACCUGCGUUGGCCACAGCCAGACUGCCCUGAUCUGGACUCAUGGUGCUCAAAACCAGAGGACUGGCCUGAGCCUGACCCAUGUUGUCCUGAGCCAGACUGCCCUGAUCUGGACUCAUGGUGUUCAAAACUAGAGGACUGAUGCGAACUAGACCCAUGUUGUCCAGAGCCAGAGGACUGGCCUGAGCCUGACGCAUGUUGUCCAGAGCCAGAGGACUGGCCUGAGGCUGACCCAUGUUGGCCACAGCCAGAGGACUGGCCUGAGCCUGACCCAUGUUGUCCAGAGCCAGAGGACUUGCCUGAGGCUGACCCGUGUAGGCCAAAGCCAGAGGACUGGCCUGAGCCUGACCCAUGUUGUCCUGAGCCAGACUGCCCUGAUCUGGACUCAUGGUGCUCAAAACU